Molecule: ribosomal RNA, 825 nt
Filed under: Mycobacterium sp.
Lineage: Bacteria; Bacillati; Actinomycetota; Actinomycetes; Mycobacteriales; Mycobacteriaceae
Description: bacterial SSU rRNA
Rfam family: Bacterial small subunit ribosomal RNA
Source: RNAcentral
UGAGUAACACGUGGGUGAUCUGCCCUGCACUUUGGGAUAAGCCUGGGAAACUGGGUCUAAUACCGAAUAGGACCGCGCGCUUCAUGGUGUGUGGUGGAAAGCUUUUGCGGUGUGGGAUGGGCCCGCGGCCUAUCAGCUUGUUGGUGGGGUAAUGGCCUACCAAGGCGACGACGGGUAGCCGGCCUGAGAGGGUGUCCGGCCACACUGGGACUGAGAUACGGCCCAGACUCCUACGGGAGGCAGCAGUGGGGAAUAUUGCACAAUGGGCGCAAGCCUGAUGCAGCGACGCCGCGUGGGGGAUGACGGCCUUCGGGUUGUAAACCUCUUUCAGUAUCGGCGAAGCUCCAGGAUUCUUCUUGGGGUGACGGUAGGUACAGAAGAAGCACCGGCCAACUACGUGCCAGCAGCCGCGGUAAUACGUAGGGUGCGAGCGUUGUCCGGAAUUACUGGGCGUAAAGAGCUCGUAGGUGGUUUGUCACGUUGUCCGUGAAAACUCACAGCUUAACUGUGGGCGUGCGGGCGAUACGGGCAGACUGGAGUACUGUAGGGGAGACUGGAAUUCCUGGUGUAGCGGUGGAAUGCGCAGAUAUCAGGAGGAACACCGGUGGCGAAGGCGGGUCUCUGGGCAGUAACUGACGCUGAGGAGCGAAAGCGUGGGGAGCGAACAGGAUUAGAUACCCUGGUAGUCCACGCCGUAAACGGUGGGUACUAGGUGUGGGUUUCCUUCCUUUAGGGAUCCGUGCCGUAGCUAACGCAUUAAGUACCCCGCCUGGGGAGUACGGCCGCAAGGCUAAAACUCAAAGGAAUUGACGGGGGCCCGCACAA